RNAcentral lists this ribosomal RNA (253 nucleotides) under uncultured bacterium. Its description in RNAcentral is "partial 16S ribosomal RNA". It matches the Rfam family "Bacterial small subunit ribosomal RNA", at positions 524 to 776 of the family's 1533-position model. The record is from RNAcentral.
UACGUAGGGUGCAAGCGUUGUCCGGAAUUAUUGGGCGUAAAGAGCUCGUAGGCGGUUUGUCGCGUCUGCUGUGAAAGACCGGGGCUCAACUCCGGUUCUGCAGUGGGUACGGGCAGACUAGAGUGCAGUAGGGGAGACUGGAAUUCCUGGUGUAGCGGUGAAAUGCGCAGAUAUCAGGAGGAACACCGAUGGCGAAGGGAGGUCUCUGGGCUGUAACUGACGCUGAGGAGCGAAAGCAUGGGGAGCGAACAGG